UCCUACGGGGGGCAGCAGUGGGGAAUAUUGCACAAUGGGGGAAACCCUGAUGCAGCGACGCCGCGUGAGUGAAGAAGUAUUUCGGUAUGUAAAGCUCUGUCAGCAGGGAAGAAAAUGACGGUACCUGACCAAGAAGCCCCGGCUAACUACGUGCCAGCAGCCGCGGUAAUACGUAGGGGGCAAGCGUUAUCCGGAUUUACUGGGUGUAAAGGGAGCGUAGACGGCAGUGCAAGUCUGGAGUGAAAGGCGGGGGCUCAACCCCCGGACUGCUCUGGAAACUGUACGGCUGGAGUGCAGGAGAGGUA
RNAcentral lists this ribosomal RNA (305 nucleotides) under uncultured bacterium. RNAcentral describes it as "bacterial SSU rRNA". It matches the Rfam family "Bacterial small subunit ribosomal RNA", at positions 337 to 659 of the family's 1533-position model. The record is from RNAcentral.